UAACACGUGGGGAACCUGCCCCAUAGUCUGGGAUACCACUUGGAAACAGGUGCUAAUACCGGAUAAGAAAGCAGAUCGCAUGAUCAGCUUUUAAAAGGCGGCGUAAGCUGUCGCUAUGGGAUGGCCCCGCGGUGCAUUAGCUAGUUGGUAAGGUAAAGGCUUACCAAGGCGAUGAUGCAUAGCCGAGUUUAGAGACUGAUCGGCCACAUUGGGACUGAGACACGGCCCAAACUCCUACGGGAGGCAGCAGCC
This 252-nucleotide ribosomal RNA is filed under the name uncultured Lactobacillus sp. RNAcentral describes it as "partial 16S ribosomal RNA". It matches the Rfam family "Bacterial small subunit ribosomal RNA", at positions 111 to 355 of the family's 1533-position model. The record is from RNAcentral. Lineage: Bacteria; Bacillati; Bacillota; Bacilli; Lactobacillales; Lactobacillaceae.